AGAGAGAGAGAGAGAGAGAGAGAGAGAGAGAGAGAGAGAGAGAGAGAGAGAGAGAGAGAGAGAGAGAGAGAGAGAGAGAGAGAGAGAGAGUGUGUGUGUGUACUAUACAAAAGUAAACCAAUCAUGCUUCCUCCUCAUCGCGCCCUAGAUGUGGGCAGCCACGGUUCCUGACGUGAUGUGAUGUUGUGACGGGCCGUGCGAUGCGGUGCGUUAGUGCUACACUUGUCCUAUCAAGUUAAUGCAACGUACUGUUAGUGUUGAUAGCUCGGCCUUGACAUGGAUCUUUUGAAUGUGUAGGGGCGCUGUCCAUCAGUGCUGCCUCUCACUCCCUUCUCGUGAAAAGUGUCUGAACCCUUUCCCAGUGAUACCAAACAAUUGACACCAGCAUCUGUAUUUUUCUGAUUUCCUCUGCCUGAAAACACUGGAAUUUUCUAUCUGUUUUGAGUGUUUUUCCAAUCUUUCCUACAAAUUCAAGUUUUCACAUCAUUAAGAUAUUUUCAAAAAUAAUAUCUAUCUAUUCUACUCCUUCCAAUAUCAUUUAGUUAACCAAUAUCUGCAAUCUUUCAUCCUUACACUGGUAAAGUUUGGAAUUGUCUCUCAGUUUCUAAGUGCUUCCCUCCUUUUUAUGCUUUCAUCUUUUCACAAUAUGAUCAAGAUAUCUUCGAAAUUAAAUCAGCUUACUUAUUUCUUUAUAAUUUCCUACAGUUAUCUGUUUCAUAGAGCGGCUAAGAAUGUUAUCUUAAUCAGUUCUCGUAGUCUUAGCUGGGCAGCCCGCGACGUAAAGAGUUAAUAAAGAAAUAGAACACA
This is a long non-coding RNA of Portunus trituberculatus (swimming crab), 807 nucleotides long. RefSeq lists it as uncharacterized. The record is from RefSeq and is a predicted model, not a curated record. NCBI's taxonomy places the organism in Eukaryota, Metazoa, Arthropoda, Malacostraca, Decapoda, Portunidae. The transcript is spliced from 2 exons.